This 549-nucleotide ribosomal RNA is filed under the name uncultured bacterium. Its description in RNAcentral is "bacterial SSU rRNA". It matches the Rfam family "Bacterial small subunit ribosomal RNA", at positions 355 to 896 of the family's 1533-position model. The record is from RNAcentral.
UGGGGAAUAUUGGACAAUGGGGGAAACCCUGAUCCAGCGACGCCGCGUGUGUGAAGAAGGCCUGCGGGUUGUAAAGCACUUUUAGUGGGGACAAAAAGCUACGGAUUAAUACUCUGUGGUCUUGAUUUAACCCAAAGAAAAAGCACCGGCUAACUCUGUGCCAGCAGCCGCGGUAAUACAGAGGGUGCGAGCGUUAAUCGGAAUUACUGGGCGUAAAGCGCGCGUAGACGGUUUUGUAAGUCAGAUGUGAAAUCCCUGGGCUCAACCUGGGAACUGCAUUUGAGACUGCAUGGCUAGAGUAUCGAAGAGGGAAGUGGAAUUUCCGGUGUAGCGGUGAAAUGCGUAGAUAUCGGAAGGAACACCAGUGGCGAAAGCGACUUCCUGGUCGAAUACUGACGUUCAUGUGCGAAAGCGUGGGGAGCAAACAGGAUUAGAUACCCUGGUAGUCCACGCCAUAAACGAUGACAACUAGAUGUUGGGAGGGUCUGCCUCUCGGUGUCGCAGCUAACGCGUUAAGUUGUCCGCCUGGGGAGUACGGCCGCAAGGUUG